This 83-nucleotide ribosomal RNA is filed under the name Desulforhopalus sp. The record is from RNAcentral. Lineage: Bacteria; Pseudomonadati; Thermodesulfobacteriota; Desulfobulbia; Desulfobulbales; Desulfocapsaceae.
CCAUUCCGAACACGGAAGUUAAGCUCUUUAGCGCCGAUGGUACUGCACGGGCGACUGUGUGGGAGAGUAGGUCACCGCCGUUU